UGUUCAAUAUGCGUGAUUCCGUGAUUCUCUGGAUUCCGAAACAACAUUAUUUACGCUGCUGUGACAGAAAGAGAGUUCUGGGCUCGUGCACAGCAAGGCGCUCUGCCCAAGAAAUCCAACGAUGGUCUUCCGCCUUGGAUAAAUUCCCCGAUUCACUCAAUCGAACUUGUCCUGUUCGGUAGCGGUGUGACGGAACCUUCGAAACCGGAGUGGCCAAUGAACUCAUAAUUUGCAGCAUUUAUCACCACACAGUAUCCACCAGGGGGAACUCGCUGCAUGAUGGUACGGUCUCGCCGAAGGUCACUAGGACAAGCACCGCUUCAGCAUCCUGGCAAAUCCGUUCGCCAAAUCCGACAAAGUUAAUGGCCUCCUGGAGCAAAGAGAUUCAGAUGAAAGAAGCCUCACCCGCGCGAAUCAGUCGGAGUCGAAAGAGAAGUGAGGAACGUUCUAGAGGGAUUAUCUUGACAACCAUUCCUUGUCGUCGUAUAACCGGAUCAUAAAUUGAAAAAUGGUCAGAAAGCAGAUCCUAGAUCCAUCUUUUUACAGCCCUAUUACCAUGGCAUUCCUUAAGGAGCUGCCUCGCCACUCAUCACAUCUCAACUCAACUCAACAACUCAAACGGAGUUAGACCUCUUAAUAAAAUUGU
Molecule: long non-coding RNA, 646 nt
Organism: Aedes albopictus (Asian tiger mosquito)
Lineage: Eukaryota; Metazoa; Arthropoda; Insecta; Diptera; Culicidae
Exons: 3
Source: RefSeq, a predicted model, not a curated record